Molecule: ribosomal RNA, 852 nt
Filed under: uncultured bacterium
Lineage: Bacteria
Description: bacterial SSU rRNA
Rfam family: Bacterial small subunit ribosomal RNA
Source: RNAcentral
UCGGAAUUACUGGGCGUAAAGCGCAUGCAGGCGGUUUGUUAAGUCAGAUGUGAAAGCCCGGGGCUCAACCUCGGAACCGCAUUUGAAACUGGCAGGCUAGAGUCUUGUAGAGGGGGGUAGAAUUUCAGGUGUAGCGGUGAAAUGCGUAGAGAUCUGAAGGAAUACCAGUGGCGAAGGCGGCCCCCUGGACAAAGACUGACGCUCAGAUGCGAAAGCGUGGGUAGCAAACAGGAUUAGAUACCCUGGUAGUCCACGCCGUAAACGCUGUCUACUUGGAGGUUGAGGUUUAGACUUUGGCUUUCGGCGCUAACGCAUUAAGUAGACCGCCUGGGGAGUACGGCCGCAAGGUUAAAACUCAAAUGAAUUGACGGGGGCCCGCACAAGCGGUGGAGCAUGUGGUUUAAUUCGAUGCAACGCGAAGAACCUUACCUACUCUUGACAUCCAGCGAAGCCUUUAGAGAUAGAGGCGUGCCUUCGGGAGCGCUGAGACAGGUGCUGCAUGGCUGUCGUCAGCUCGUGUUGUGAAAUGUUGGGUUAAGUCCCGCAACGAGCGCAACCCUUAUCCUUGUUUGCCAGCACGUAAUGGUGGGAACUCCAGGGAGACUGCCGGUGAUAAACCGGAGGAAGGUGGGGACGACGUCAAGUCAUCAUGGCCCUUACGAGUAGGGCUACACACGUGCUACAAUGGCAGAUACAGAGGGCAGCGAAGCUGCGAAGUGGAGCGAAUCCCUUAAAGUCUGUCGUAGUCCGGAUUGGAGUCUGCAACUCGACUCCAUGAAGUCGGAAUCGCUAGUAAUCGUGGAUCAGAAUGCCACGGUGAAUACGUUCCCGGGCCUUGUACACACCGCCCGU